RNAcentral lists this ribosomal RNA (447 nucleotides) under uncultured bacterium. RNAcentral's name for it is "partial 16S ribosomal RNA". It matches the Rfam family "Bacterial small subunit ribosomal RNA", at positions 329 to 792 of the family's 1533-position model. The record is from RNAcentral.
GGCCAGACUCCUACGGGAGGCAGCAGUGGGGAAUAUUGCACAAUGGGGGGAACCCUGAUGCAGCGACGCCGCGUGGGUGAAGGAGUAUUUCGGUAUGUAAAGCCCUCUCAGCAGGGAAGAACAAUGACGGUACCUGACUAAGAAGCACCGGCUAAAUACGUGCCAGCAGCCGCGGUAAUACGUAUGGUGCAAGCGUUAUCCGGAUUUACUGGGUGUAAAGGGGGCGCAGACGGCAGCGCAAGCCAGGAGUGAAAGCCCGGGGCCCAACCCCGGGACUGCUCUUGGAACUGCGCGGCUGGAGUGCAGGAGGGGCAGGCGGAAUUCCUGGUGUAGCGGUGAAAUGCGUAGAUAUCAGGAGGAACACCGGUGGCGAAGGCGGCCUGCUGGACUGCGACUGACGUUGAGGCCCGAAAGCGUGGGGAGCAAACAGGAUUAGAUACCCGGGUA